GUCACUGAAACAAUUUGGAGCAGACACCUGAGGUAUCUGUAAGGAAGAGAACAUUGCUCAUCUUCACAACCAGACUUGGGACAUCUUCAGAAAAAUACCAGUUCUAAAGCAGUGAAGCCCACACAUGAGAGAGCCAUUUCUUCCUCCUGAUCCAGAUGUGAUGCCUGCAGCCUAGACCUGCAACUAAGAAACAAAGUUUGAUAAUGGACUUACAACUUAACCAGGCAACCCUGGAGAGCUACAGAUUGCUUCUGCUACCACCAGACUCGCUGUGUGCACGCUCCUGGCAAAGGAUCCCCGGAACAUCUCCAAAGUAGCUGCAUUAAAAUGCAUCCUGGGAUGGGCAGGAUGGGAGGGGCUCUCUGCCACAGCUUGCAGUCCCUUUCACUACUAUUUUAGCCAGAAGCAGAGUAAGUCAAAUGUUCACCUAAAGUAAAUGUACCCCUUAGGAUGGAAAAAAAAAUACAUAAUUCAGUUUCUAAAUCACCAUGUUGCCUUGCAGGGAUCCUGAGAAAAGAGACUUUGGGGGCUGGGUACUGCACUGGAGGAGAUGUACUAGAGAUGCUCUGCUGCUUUGUCCCUAGGAAGAAUUUCCAUGUGUAAAUCCCUCUGGGAAUGUUACUGCUUUCCUCAGCAUCCCAUCCUAGCUGCUUCUGAAAUCCACAGAGGACUGUAAGCGAAGGGAGCCAAUGACGGUGUGGCUGUGUGGCUUGUGCCUCUCUGAAGCCUUUCUGGGGGUUUCUUCUUUGAAUGAGGGUGAUUUGAUAGAACAAACCACUCCACAUGCAACCAAUUAUUGCCUGAGCGCUCCAGAAGGAGCUGAAGCCUGGGUAAUUCUGAACACCACUCGAGCCCUACAACUCAUGCCUAUAGCUUUGUUGUGCCAGUUUUUCCAUUAUGAGUAUCUGUUGUGUAACAUCAGAUACUUUGCAGUUAAUUUUUUUAAGAGACAGCGUUGGGUUACGUGAUGAAACGCUCAUCUCCACACAAAGAAGAGAGCACAGAGGAAGAGUGACAGGCAAGGAGCCCCCCCAGGGAGCCGAUCGGAGAAAUGGGGCACCCAGACCUGCCCCUCCCAGCGCUACCACCGGCCACCCCUGGGCAAAGGGAGCUGCAGCGACCCCUCAACAGGCACCAGCCUCUGCAGAGGAAGUCCAUGCAGCACUCUGCUCACGUGGCACCUGCCUGGGGACCAGCAUCACCACCAGAACAUUUUGGAAGUCUUUUUUAUGAAGAGUUCAAAAAUCACUGCUCCAAUCAGAAUGGGUAUAGUGUGGGGAGCCUCUGUCUAACAAAAUAAGGUCUUCAGGAAACUUAAACACUCACAAAUGCUUGUGUGCUGUGAGAAACUGAAGCAACUACUUUAUUCAUGUUAUAAAAAGUGAGUGAUUCACCAGUAAUCUGCAUGCCAUUUUCAAGUAUGUGAAAAAAAAAAAACAAAAAACCAAAACCCACAUAGCUGCACCACAGUGCUGUGAUCCAGGAUGCUCACGGUACCUAUGACAAGCAUGUGCUACACUGGGUGUUCUGACAGCAUUUGAAAGCAAGGACUCUGUCAGAGCCAGGGUGGUAGUACCAAGGGAAAAAAGAAAAAAAAAAAUAUAGCAAAAGAAAGAGAAAAAAGGUGGAAGAAAAAAACCUUGAACAUCAUAAACAAUGACAACACUUUGAUAGCUCUCACUGCAGCCACAGCCAUGGGGACACCUGCUAUUAUAUUGGUUGGACCUGAUGCAGCUGAAGCUGCUUUUUUUUUUUUUUCCUAGGAACUUCUUAUCUCUCUGCUGCAAUAAAACACUCUAAACUCAUGACA
Molecule: long non-coding RNA, 1810 nt
Filed under: Athene cunicularia (burrowing owl)
Lineage: Eukaryota; Metazoa; Chordata; Aves; Strigiformes; Strigidae
Description: lncRNA (ENSACUG00000010257.1)
Source: RNAcentral